AUUGAACGCUGGCGGCAGGCCUAACACAUGCAAGUCGAACGGUAACAGGAAGAAGCUUGCUUCUUUGCUGACGAGUGGCGGACGGGUGAGUAAUGUCUGGGAAACUGCCUGAUGGAGAGGGAUAACUACUGGAAACGGUAGCUAAUACCGCAUAACGUCGUAAGACCAAAGAGGGGGACCUUCGGGCCUCUUGCCAUCGGAUGUGCCCAGAUGGGAUUAGCUAGUAGGUGGGGUAACGGCUCACCUAGGCGACGAUCCCUAGCUGGUCUGAGAGGAUGACCAGCCACACUGGAACUGAGACACGGUCCAGACUCCUACGGGAGGCAGCAGUGGGGAAUAUUGCACAAUGGGCGCAAGCCUGAUGCAGCCAUGCCGCGUGUAUGAAGAAGGCCUUCGGGUUGUAAAGUACUUUCAGCGGGGAGGAAGGGAGUAAAGUUAAUACCUUUGCUCAUUGACGUUACCCGCAGAAGAAGCACCGGCUAACUCCGUG
RNAcentral lists this ribosomal RNA (490 nucleotides) under uncultured bacterium. RNAcentral's name for it is "partial 16S ribosomal RNA". It matches the Rfam family "Bacterial small subunit ribosomal RNA", at positions 30 to 507 of the family's 1533-position model. The record is from RNAcentral.